ACCUGCGGAAGGAUCAUUACCUAGAGUUUGUGGGCUUUGCCUGCUAUCUCUUACCCAUGUCUUUUGAGUACUUACGUUUCCUCGGUGGGCUCGCCCACCGGUUGGACAAUUUAAACCAUUUGCAGUUGCAAUCAGCGUCUGAAAAACAUAAUAGUUACAACUUUCAACAACGGAUCUCUUGGUUCUGGCAUCGAUGAAGAACGCAGCGAAAUGCGAUAAGUAGUGUGAAUUGCAGAAUUCAGUGAAUCAUCGAAUCUUUGAACGCACAUUGCGCCCCUUGGUAUUCCAUGGGGCAUGCCUGUUCGAGCGUCAUUUGUACCUUCAAGCUCUGCUUGGUGUUGGGUGUUUGUCUCGCCUCUGCGUGUAGACUCGCCUUAAAACAAUUGGCAGCCGGCGUAUUGAUUUCGGAGCGCAGUACAUCUCGCGCUUUGCACUCAUAACGACGGCGUCCAAAAGCACAUUUUACACUCUUGACCUCGGAUCAGGUAGGGAUACCCGCUGAACUUAAGCAUAUCA
RNAcentral lists this ribosomal RNA (516 nucleotides) under fungal sp. Its description in RNAcentral is "eukaryotic LSU rRNA". The stretch from base 159 to 312 matches the Rfam family "5.8S ribosomal RNA". Lineage: Eukaryota; Fungi. The record is from RNAcentral.